This 331-nucleotide unclassified non-coding RNA is filed under the name soil metagenome. Its description in RNAcentral is "partial contains 5.8S ribosomal RNA, internal transcribed spacer 2, and large subunit ribosomal RNA". The stretch from base 1 to 120 matches the Rfam family "5.8S ribosomal RNA", at positions 35 to 154 of the family's 154-position model. The record is from RNAcentral.
GAUGAAGAACGCAUCGAAAUGCGAUAAGUAAUGUGAAUUGCAGAAUUCAGUGAAUCAUCGAAUCUUUGAACGCACAUUGCGCCCCCUGGUAUUCCGGGGGGCAUGCCUGUUCGAGCGUCAUUUCACCACUCAAGCCUCGCUUGGUAUUGGGCAUCGCGGUCCGCCGCGCGCCUCAAAUCGACCGGCUGGGUCUUCUGUCCCCUAAGCGUUGUGGAAACUAUUCGCUAAAGGGUGUUCGGGAGGCUACGCCGUAAAACAACCCCAUUUCUAAGGUUGACCUCGGAUCAGGUAGGAAUACCCGCUGAACUUAAGCAUAUCAAUAAGCGGAGGA